RNAcentral lists this ribosomal RNA (194 nucleotides) under uncultured bacterium. RNAcentral describes it as "partial 16S ribosomal RNA". It matches the Rfam family "Bacterial small subunit ribosomal RNA", at positions 338 to 524 of the family's 1533-position model. The record is from RNAcentral.
CCUACGGGAGGCAGCAGUGGGGAAUAUUGGACAAUGGGCGAAAGCCUGAUCCAGCCAUGCCGCGUGUGUGAAGAAGGUCUUCGGAUCGUAAAGCACUUUAAGUUGGGAGGAAGGGCAGUUACCUAAUACGUGAUUGUUUUGACGUUACCGACAGAAUAAGCACCGGCUAACUCUGUGCCAGCAGCCGCGGUAAU